UGCGGGAUAGAGCAGCGGUAGCUCAGCGGUCUCAUAAGUCGUUGGUCGCCGGUUCGAAUCCGGCUCCCGCAACCA
RNAcentral lists this transfer RNA (75 nucleotides) under Caudoviricetes sp. Its description in RNAcentral is "tRNA-Met". It matches the Rfam family "tRNA". From Rfam's summary of the family: Transfer RNA (tRNA) molecules are approximately 80 nucleotides in length. Lineage: Duplodnaviria; Heunggongvirae; Uroviricota; Caudoviricetes. The record is from RNAcentral.